UGGGGAAUAUUGGACAAUGGGCGAAAGCCUGAUCCAGCAAUGCCGCGUGAGUGAUGAAGGCCUUAGGGUUGUAAAGCUCUUUUACCCGGGAUGAUAAUGACAGUACCGGGAGAAUAAGCUCCGGCUAACUCCGUGCCAGCAGCCGCGGUAAUACGGAGGGAGCUAGCGUUGUUCGGAAUUACUGGGCGUAAAGCGCGCGUAGGCGGUCUAUCAAGUCGGAGGUGAAAUCCCGGGGCUCAACCCCGGAACUGCCUUUGAAACUAAUGGACUAGAAUCUUGGAGAGGCGAGUGGAAUUCCGAGUGUAGAGGUGAAAUUCGUAGAUAUUCGGAAGAACACCAGUGGCGAAGGCGACUCGCUGGACAAGUAUUGACGCUGAGGUGCGAAAGCGUGGGGAGCAAACAGG
Molecule: ribosomal RNA, 404 nt
Filed under: uncultured bacterium
Lineage: Bacteria
Description: bacterial SSU rRNA
Rfam family: Bacterial small subunit ribosomal RNA
Source: RNAcentral